Molecule: ribosomal RNA, 425 nt
Filed under: uncultured bacterium
Lineage: Bacteria
Description: bacterial SSU rRNA
Rfam family: Bacterial small subunit ribosomal RNA
Source: RNAcentral
UCAGCAGCCGCGGUAAUACAGAGGGGGCAAGCGUUGUUCGGAAUUAUUGGGCGUAAAGGGUGCGUAGGCGGUGCGGUAAGUCUUUUGUGAAAUCUCCGGGCUCAACUCGGAGUCUGCAGGAGAAACUGCCGUGCUUGAGUAUGGGAGAGGUGAGUGGAAUUCCUGGUGUAGCGGUGAAAUGCGUAGAUAUCAGGAGGAACACCUGUGGCGAAAGCGGCUCACUGGACCAUAACUGACGCUGAGGCACGAAAGCUAGGGGAGCAAACAGGAUUAGAUACCCUGGUAGUCCUAGCCCUAAACGAUGAUUGCUUGGUGUAGCAGGUACCCAAUCCUGCUGUGCCGCAGCUAACGCGUUAAGCAAUCCGCCUGGGGAGUACGGUCGCAAGGCUGAAACUUAAAGGAAUUGACGGGGGCCCGCACAAGAC